CCACAGUCAGUGCUCACAGUCAAGUUCUCAUGCUGUCAUCCCUUCACGACAUGACUUGCAGAUGGUCUGCAGCAGAUGAGCCUGUUUUGGGUAACAUCUAAGUUGCUGAGGUCUGGAGUGUGCAGCUGUUCCUCUUCUUCAGUAGUCACCUGGAUUUUAUUUCCCUGCUCUCAAGACUCUGAUGAGUGAAAGAGUCUCGUAUCUUAACUACUUCAGAUGCACACAAGUGUCCAAAACACUUGGUGUACCAGUCUGGCAUGUGACCCCUUAAAUCAAUUCUGCACAUGUAGGUGAGUUUAGAUUUUCC
RNAcentral lists this long non-coding RNA (307 nucleotides) under Gallus gallus (chicken). The record is from RNAcentral. Lineage: Eukaryota; Metazoa; Chordata; Aves; Galliformes; Phasianidae.